RNAcentral lists this ribosomal RNA (2774 nucleotides) under Escherichia coli C2139_99. RNAcentral describes it as "bacterial LSU rRNA". It matches the Rfam family "Bacterial large subunit ribosomal RNA". The record is from RNAcentral. Lineage: Bacteria; Pseudomonadati; Pseudomonadota; Gammaproteobacteria; Enterobacterales; Enterobacteriaceae.
AGCGUACACGGUGGAUGCCCUGGCAGUCAGAGGCGAUGAAGGACGUGCUAAUCUGCGAUAAGCGUCGGUGAGGUGAUAUGAACCGUUAUAACCGGCGAUUUCCGAAUGGGGAAACCCAGUGUGUUUCGACACACUAUCAUUAACUGAAUCCAUAGGUUAAUGAGGCGAACCGGGGGAACUGAAACAUCUAAGUACCCCGAGGAAAAGAAAUCAACCGAGAUUCCCCCAGUAGCGGCGAGCGAACGGGGAGGAGCCCAGAGCCUGAAUCAGUGUGUGUGUUAGUGGAAGCGUCUGGAAAGGCGCGCGAUACAGGGUGACAGCCCCGUACACAAAAAUGCACAUAUUGUGAGCUCGAUGAGUAGGGCGGGACACGUGGUAUCCUGUCUGAAUAUGGGGGGACCAUCCUCCAAGGCUAAAUACUCCUGACUGACCGAUAGUGAACCAGUACCGUGAGGGAAAGGCGAAAAGAACCCCGGCGAGGGGAGUGAAAAAGAACCUGAAACCGUGUACGUACAAGCAGUGGGAGCCUCUUAAUGGGGUGACUGCGUACCUUUUGUAUAAUGGGUCAGCGACUUAUAUUCUGUAGCAAGGUUAACCGAAUAGGGGAGCCGAAGGGAAACCGAGUCUUAACUGGGCGUUAAGUUGCAGGGUAUAGACCCGAAACCCGGUGAUCUAGCCAUGGGCAGGUUGAAGGUUGGGUAACACUAACUGGAGGACCGAACCGACUAAUGUUGAAAAAUUAGCGGAUGACUUGUGGCUGGGGGUGAAAGGCCAAUCAAACCGGGAGAUAGCUGGUUCUCCCCGAAAGCUAUUUAGGUAGCGCCUCGUGAAUUCAUCUCCGGGGGUAGAGCACUGUUUCGGCAAGGGGGUCAUCCCGACUUACCAACCCGAUGCAAACUGCGAAUACCGGAGAAUGUUAUCACGGGAGACACACGGCGGGUGCUAACGUCCGUCGUGAAGAGGGAAACAACCCAGACCGCCAGCUAAGGUCCCAAAGUCAUGGUUAAGUGGGAAACGAUGUGGGAAGGCCCAGACAGCCAGGAUGUUGGCUUAGAAGCAGCCAUCAUUUAAAGAAAGCGUAAUAGCUCACUGGUCGAGUCGGCCUGCGCGGAAGAUGUAACGGGGCUAAACCAUGCACCGAAGCUGCGGCAGCGACGCUUAUGCGUUGUUGGGUAGGGGAGCGUUCUGUAAGCCUGUGAAGGUGGCCUGUGAGGGUUGCUGGAGGUAUCAGAAGUGCGAAUGCUGACAUAAGUAACGAUAAAGCGGGUGAAAAGCCCGCUCGCCGGAAGACCAAGGGUUCCUGUCCAACGUUAAUCGGGGCAGGGUGAGUCGACUCCUAAGGCGAGGCCGAAAGGCGUAGUCGAUGGGAAACAGGUUAAUAUUCCUGUACUUGGUGUUACUGCGAAGGGGGGACGGAGAAGGCUAUGUUGGCCGGGCGACGGUUGUCCCGGUUUAAGCGUGUAGGCUGGUUUUCCAGGCAAAUCCGGAAAACCAAGGCUGAGGCGUGAUGACGAGGCACUACGGUGCUGAAGUGACAAAUGCCCUGCUUCCAGGAAAAGCCUCUAAGCAUCAGGUAACAUCAAAUCGUACCCCAAACCGACACAGGUGGUCAGGUAGAGAAUACCAAGGCGCUUGAGAGAACUCGGGUGAAGGAACUAGGCAAAAUGGUGCCGUAACUUCGGGAGAAGGCACGCUGAUAUGUAGGUGAAGCGACUUGCUCGUGGAGCUGAAAUCAGUCGAAGAUACCAGCUGGCUGCAACUGUUUAUUAAAAACACAGCACUGUGCAAACACGAAAGUGGACGUAUACGGUGUGACGCCUGCCCGGUGCCGGAAGGUUAAUUGAUGGGGUUAGCGGUAACGCGAAGCUCUUGAUCGAAGCCCCGGUAAACGGCGGCCGUAACUAUAACGGUCCUAAGGUAGCGAAAUUCCUUGUCGGGUAAGUUCCGACCUGCACGAAUGGCGUAAUGAUGGCCAGGCUGUCUCCACCCGAGACUCAGUGAAAUUGAACUCGCUGUGAAGAUGCAGUGUACCCGCGGCAAGACGGAAAGACCCCGUGAACCUUUACUAUAGCUUGACACUGAACAUUGAGCCUUGAUGUGUAGGAUAGGUGGGAGGCUUUGAAGUGUGGACGCCAGUCUGCAUGGAGCCGACCUUGAAAUACCACCCUUUAAUGUUUGAUGUUCUAACGUUGGCCCGUAAUCCGGGUUGCGGACAGUGUCUGGUGGGUAGUUUGACUGGGGCGGUCUCCUCCUAAAGAGUAACGGAGGAGCACGAAGGUUGGCUAAUCCUGGUCGGACAUCAGGAGGUUAGUGCAAUGGCAUAAGCCAGCUUGACUGCGAGCGUGACGGCGCGAGCAGGUGCGAAAGCAGGUCAUAGUGAUCCGGUGGUUCUGAAUGGAAGGGCCAUCGCUCAACGGAUAAAAGGUACUCCGGGGAUAACAGGCUGAUACCGCCCAAGAGUUCAUAUCGACGGCGGUGUUUGGCACCUCGAUGUCGGCUCAUCACAUCCUGGGGCUGAAGUAGGUCCCAAGGGUAUGGCUGUUCGCCAUUUAAAGUGGUACGCGAGCUGGGUUUAGAACGUCGUGAGACAGUUCGGUCCCUAUCUGCCGUGGGCGCUGGAGAACUGAGGGGGGCUGCUCCUAGUACGAGAGGACCGGAGUGGACGCAUCACUGGUGUUCGGGUUGUCAUGCCAAUGGCACUGCCCGGUAGCUAAAUGCGGAAGAGAUAAGUGCUGAAAGCAUCUAAGCACGAAACUUGCCCCGAGAUGAGUUCU